GAUGAACGCUGGCGGCGUGCCUAAUACAUGCAAGUAGAACGCUGAAGCUUGGUGCUUGCACCGAGCGGAUGAGUUGCGAACGGGUGAGUAACGCGUAGGUAACCUGCCUGGUAGCGGGGGAUAACUAUUGGAAACGAUAGCUAAUACCGCAUAACAGUCGACAUUGCAUGAUGUUGAUUUGAAAGGGGCAAUUGCUCCACUACCAGAUGGACCUGCGUUGUAUUAGCUAGUUGGUGAGGUAACGGCUCACCAAGGCGACGAUACAUAGCCGACCUGAGAGGGUGAUCGGCCACACUGGGACUGAGACACGGCCCAGACUCCUACGGGAGGCAGCAGUAGGGAAUCUUCGGCAAUGGGGGCAACCCUGACCGAGCAACGCCGCGUGAGUGAAGAAGGUUUUCGGAUCGUAAAGCUCUGUUGUAAGAGAAGAACGAGUG
This 437-nucleotide ribosomal RNA is filed under the name Streptococcus sp. oral taxon 068. RNAcentral describes it as "bacterial SSU rRNA". It matches the Rfam family "Bacterial small subunit ribosomal RNA", at positions 28 to 455 of the family's 1533-position model. Lineage: Bacteria; Bacillati; Bacillota; Bacilli; Lactobacillales; Streptococcaceae. The record is from RNAcentral.